CUGCGGUAUUUUGACCGUGCUAAGGUAGCAUAAUCAAUUGUUUUUUAAUUGAAAACUAGUAUGAACGGUUUAAUUUACUUAAUUAGUUUGUAAUUUUUAAUAGUAAGUUAAAUAUAAAGUAAGAAUUCUUUAAUAAAUUAGGGGACGAUAAGACCCUAAAAGCUUUAUGAUCGGCAUUUAAUUGGUGAUAGCGGUGUUAUUAAUUCACUGGGGCAGUGAGUUUAGGUAUAUUUAAGUAUAAUUAAAAGCUCCUUUAAAUAAAGAUUUCAUGUAUAAGUUACUUUAGGGAUAACAGUGCAAUAUAUU
This 306-nucleotide ribosomal RNA is filed under the name Dikerogammarus haemobaphes. RNAcentral describes it as "partial 16S ribosomal RNA". Lineage: Eukaryota; Metazoa; Arthropoda; Malacostraca; Amphipoda; Gammaridae. The record is from RNAcentral.